CCCUUAGAUGUUCUGGGCCGCACGCGCGCUACACUGAUGCAGUCAACAAGUUUAUUUCCUGAGCUGAAAAGUUUGGGUAAUCUUUUGAAACUGCAUCGUGCUGGGGCUUGACGAUUGCAAUUAUUUGUCACAAACGAGGAAUUCCUAGUAAACGAAAGUCAUCAUCUUGCAUUGAUUACGUCCCUGCCCUUUGUACACACCGCCCGUCGCUCCUACCGAUUGAAUGUUCCGGUGAACACUUUGGAAUAGUUCUUAUGUGAGGGGAAACUCUUUGCUUGGAUACUGUGAAGUUGUGUAAACCUUAACAUUUAGAGGAAGGAGAAGUCGUAACA
This 332-nucleotide ribosomal RNA is filed under the name uncultured eukaryote. Its description in RNAcentral is "partial 18S ribosomal RNA". It matches the Rfam family "Eukaryotic small subunit ribosomal RNA", at positions 1470 to 1796 of the family's 1831-position model. The record is from RNAcentral.